AGUAUGGUGAUUUUUGCCUCUUUCUGUAAUUUUAGCUUGAUUUAUCAAAAUCGAUAUGUUUCUAAGAAAGAAGACGAAGUUUUUCAAGUGAAGUUUUCAGAUCUCAAAUUUAUAAGAUCUUAUAAAUUGGGUCCUUUCAAAUCUUACUGUUGAUCUGUUAGCAAUCAAAAGACACAAAGCUUAACGUAAGAGUACAAUUAUUGAUUUGGUUGAUUUAUUGUCAUAGUUUUCAGAUUUAUAUAAUUAUUUAAUUCAUGAGAAGGUACUAACCUAAGAGUAUAAUUAUUCUAUGAUUACUUCUUCUCUUGGUUGAUUUGGUGAUGUUGCAGAGAAUUACAAAUGUGUGUUGUCAGCUUUUGGAUUUAAAGGAUGUUGUGGAGAAUAUGUGUGGUGAUAUGCAUAUCUAAGUAUCUCACUUCCUUAAGAUUUUGAAAAUUUACGAGGUUGGUGAGCUGUUUGAAGAGGCAAGAGAGACUCUGAAGAAGAAUGUGGUUUGUGCUAUCAAAGAAUUACGUAUUUAUAACGCUUUAUAAAAGUUGCAGAGUUGGCUUCUUAGUAUAUUCUUUUCUCUCAUCUUAUUUAGACAUCUCUUAUACUAAAACAAUUGUAUCUCUCUUUUAGUAGUUGCAUAGUUGAAGAUAUUAGUUGGACAUGUAAGUGAGUUUGGUUUCAAUUGUUUCUUUUAUAGAAGAGUGAGAUAUGGAGAAGCCUUGAUAUUCUCAGACUAUGUUAAAGCAAUAUAUCCCUUGUUGAAGGACGUGGCUCUUUCACCAGAUAUGUCUUUUUUGUGUUGAUUGUCUUUUGGAGGGAUUUUAGAAAAAUUA
Long non-coding RNA from Brassica rapa (field mustard), 824 nucleotides. RefSeq lists it as uncharacterized. The record is from RefSeq and is a predicted model, not a curated record. Lineage: Eukaryota; Viridiplantae; Streptophyta; Magnoliopsida; Brassicales; Brassicaceae.